AUUGAACGCUGGCGGCAUGCUUUACACAUGCAAGUCGAACGGUAACGCGGGGGCAACCCUGGCGACGAGUGGCGAACGGGUGAGUAAUACAUCGGAACGUACCCAGUUGUGGGGGAUAGCUCGGCGAAAGCCGGAUUAAUACCGCAUACGACCUACGGGUGAAAGCGGGGGCUCGCAAGACCUCGCGCUAUUGGAGCGGCCGAUGGCAGAUUAGCUUGUUGGUGAGGUAAGAGCUACCAAGCGACGAUCUGUAGCUGGUCUGAGAGGACGACCAGCCACACUGGGACUGAGACACGGCCCAGACUCCUACGGGAGGCAGGCAGUGGGGAAUUUUGGACAAGUGGGCGAAAGCCUGAUCCAGCAAUGCCGCGUGUGUGAUGAA
This 382-nucleotide ribosomal RNA is filed under the name uncultured bacterium. RNAcentral describes it as "bacterial SSU rRNA". It matches the Rfam family "Bacterial small subunit ribosomal RNA", at positions 30 to 412 of the family's 1533-position model. The record is from RNAcentral.